AGCGAACGUUUGCGGCGGGCCUAACACAUGCAAGUCGAACGCACUAGCAAUAGUGAGUGGCGCACGGGUGCGUAACACGUGGGUAAUCAACCCUUCAGCCUGGGAUAACGACUCGAAAGGGUCGCUAAUACCGGAUACGGCGCGAGAGGCUUCGGCUUCUCACGAGAAAGCCACGCAAGGGGCACUGAAGGACGAGCCUGCGGCCCAUCAGCUAGUUGGUGAGGUAAGAGCUCACCAAGGCUAAGACGGGUAGCUGGUCUGAGAGGAUGAUCAGCCACACUGGAACUGAGACACGGUCCAGACUCCUACGGGAGGCAGCAGUGGGGAAUAUUGCGCAAUGGGCGAAAGCCUGACGCAGCCACGCCGCGUGAGCGAUGAAGGCCUUCGGGUCGGUAAAGCUCUGUGGGGAGAGACGAAGAAAGCCUGUGAAGAGCAGGCCUUGACGGUAUCUCCUUAGCAAGCACCGGCUAACUCCGUGCCAGCA
Molecule: ribosomal RNA, 484 nt
Filed under: uncultured bacterium
Lineage: Bacteria
Description: bacterial SSU rRNA
Rfam family: Bacterial small subunit ribosomal RNA
Source: RNAcentral